CAACCCUCGGUCCCAACCGGUUUUGAGCCAGCGCGGGUCCCCGACCCCGCCGGCUUUAAAGUUGUAAGCUCUGCUGCCUGCCCGGCCCGACCAGAACAUAGUAAAACGCUACUUGCUCAAAGUCGGAGCCGAAGCGGUGCGGCCUGAACAAAACCUACCCAAAUCUCAG
Molecule: unclassified non-coding RNA, 169 nt
Filed under: uncultured Orbiliaceae
Lineage: Eukaryota; Fungi; Ascomycota; Orbiliomycetes; Orbiliales
Description: sequence contains ITS2
Source: RNAcentral